CAUUCUUGUCGAUAAUUCCUAAGUUUGUCUUGAACAAUAAAUGUGUGAACUUUGCUUUUAAAAAAGCACCAGAAAGUAUUAUUGAAAAUACACUUUCAUUUAUUCACAACUUGUCGAAGUAAUCAGUUAGUGUUGUAAAUUUGAUUGUUCAUCCAUCAAAUCUAAAAACAUAAACAUUUAUAAACAGAUACUUUAUAUAGGCCGUUACUUCCAGGAGCGAUGUUCGUUUAAGCAUUCAGCUUACAUGUUAUAAACAUACAGAAAUAGUCUUCAUUUGUUUUGUUGUAAUUUACAAAUACUUUCAUUCAGGGGCAUAAUUAGGGUCUCACCAGUUUUUCUCUUUAGUAAAGACAAAUUGUUAGACAACAGAUGUACUGCGGCCUAUUUUAUACAUGCAAAGUCGAUUACAAUUAAAAAUUCGCUACAGAGAUCAAAUUACAACAGCAUAGACACAUACAUUUACUAAUUACAAAACAAAGAAAGUGGAAAUAAAAACAAUAGGUAGGGCUACAGUUUUUUUCCUCUCAGCAUUCACCUUUUGGAGGAUUUGGGAGUGUCACAUAGGAAUAUACCACUGAGUGGGCAAUGGGGCAGUUGGGGUGGUCUUCAAGUUAGUUUUCCUUCCCUUUUCCUUUCUUCUUCUCGCCUCCCUUGGGUUUGGACACUUUAAUGGUGGUCUGGCAUUCAGCAUUGAACAGUGCCUUCUUCAGUGUCCCAGACCUGCUUCUGGUUCCUGUAGUAGUGUCACAUUCGGCCCAGCGACCAAACUUGUACUUGCAGUCAGCUAAAAACCAAGGACAAACUAGAAUGAAUGGCCUGUCUAAAUAUGUUUUUCUUUGAUUCACAUCCAGACAUGCAUUCAGUGUAUUCAUACAUGGUAAAACUCCUUACCGCCAAAGUCUUUCUUCCAGUUGCAUGGGACUUUGCACUUGGUUUUCUUUGUCUGUUCGUUGCAGGUCGCCUCCCGAAUGCCAGCGCCGCAAUCGCCGCUGUUGGGCACGCAUUUCCCAUACUGCCAUUCACUGCACUCAGCAUCUGCUUUGGGCUCUUUGCCCUUUUCUGUCACAAAAUAGAGAAUGAUUAUUAAUUAUAUCACACCAAAGGAAUGUGCAUUGCAUCAUUUUAAGUAAAAAAAAAAAAAGAACCUUUUUUCUUCAUACUGGCUUCCACGGUGAUCAUCAACACCACCAGCAGCACAAGCGCUAUAGAGAAUAAAUUCCGCAUUCUGGGAAAAAAAUACAGCUGGCAUUAAUUUUAGUUCAAUUAUGUAGAUGCACAAUGUGAAGCAGACUUAUUAUUAUUAUUAUAAAUUAUUUGUUAAUAUUUUGAAUUAGCUUUUGCUUGGAAUGUGCUUUUGUCAUUUAUAUUAUUUUUUAU
Long non-coding RNA from Cyprinus carpio carpio, 1377 nucleotides. The record is from Ensembl. NCBI's taxonomy places the organism in Eukaryota, Metazoa, Chordata, Actinopteri, Cypriniformes, Cyprinidae.